CCUACGGGUGGCAGCAGUGAGGAAUAUUGGUCAAUGGACGAGAGUCUGAACCAGCCAAGUAGCGUGAAGGAUGACUGCCCUAUGGGUUGUAAACUUCUUUUAUAUGGGAAUAAAAUGUUCCACGUGUGGGAUUUUGUAUGUACAAUAUGAAUAAGGAUCGGCUAACUCCGUGCCAGCAGCCGCGGUAAUACGGAGGAUCCGAGCGUUAUCCGGAUUUAUUGGGUUUAAAGGGAGCGUAGGUGGAUUGUUAAGUCAGUUGUGAAAGUUUGCGGCUCAACCGUAAAAUUGCAGUUGAAACUGGCAGUCUUGAGUACAGUAGAGGUGGGCGGAAUUCGUGGUGUAGCGGUGAAAUGCUUAGAUAUCACGAAGAACUCCGAUUGCGAAGGCAGUUCACUGGACUGCAACUGACACUGAGGCUCGAAAGUGUGGGUAUCAAACAGGAUUAGAUACCCGUGUAGUC
RNAcentral lists this ribosomal RNA (460 nucleotides) under uncultured bacterium. Its description in RNAcentral is "partial 16S ribosomal RNA". It matches the Rfam family "Bacterial small subunit ribosomal RNA", at positions 338 to 795 of the family's 1533-position model. The record is from RNAcentral.